Molecule: ribosomal RNA, 367 nt
Filed under: uncultured fungus
Lineage: Eukaryota; Fungi
Description: eukaryotic LSU rRNA
Rfam family: Eukaryotic large subunit ribosomal RNA
Source: RNAcentral
AUAUCAAUAAGCGGAGGAAAAGAAACUAACAAGGAUUCCCCUAGUAACUGCGAGUGAAGCGGGAAAAGCUCAAAUUUUGAAUCUGGCGGUCAUCUAGGCCGUCCGAAUUGUAAUCUAGAGAAGUGUCUUCUGCGCUGGCCCGUGUACAAGUCUCCUGGAAGGGAGCAUCAUAGAGGGUGAGAAUCCCGUCUUUGACACGGACUACCAGGGCUAUGUGAUGCACUCUCGACGAGUCGAGUUGUUUGGGAAUGCAGCUCAAAAUGGGUGGUAAAUUCCAUCUAAAGCUAAAUACAGGCGAGAAACCGAUAGUGAACAAGUACCGUGAGGGAAAGAUCAAAAGAACUUUGAAAAGAGAGUUAAACAGUAC